RNAcentral lists this ribosomal RNA (251 nucleotides) under uncultured bacterium. RNAcentral's name for it is "partial 16S ribosomal RNA". It matches the Rfam family "Bacterial small subunit ribosomal RNA", at positions 524 to 776 of the family's 1533-position model. The record is from RNAcentral.
GACGGGGGGGGCAAGUGUUCUUCGGAAUGACUGGGCGUAAAGGGCACGUAGGCGGUGAAUCGGGUUGAAAGUGAAAGUCGCCAAAAAGUGGCGGAAUGCUCUCGAAACCAAUUCACUUGAGGGAGGUAGGGGCGAGCGGAACUGAUGGUGGAGCGGUGAAAUGCGUUGAUAUCAUCAGGAACUCCGGUGGCGAAGGCGGCUCGCUGGACCUUUUCUGACGCUGAGGCGCGAAAGCUAGGGGAGCAAACGGG